AGAGUUUGAUCCUGGCUCAGGACGAACGCUAGCGGCGUGCCUAAGGUAUGCAAGUCGAACGGAUCAGAGAGCUUGCUCUCUGGUGAGUGGCGAACGGUCGAGUAACACGUAGACAACCUGCCCUGCAGCGGGGGAUAACCGGGGGAAACCGCGGCUAAUACCGCAUGUGGUGGCACUGGGAAGCCGGUGCUGACCAAAGGAAGGGGUAACCCUUUCGCUGAAAGAUGGGUCUGCGGCCUAUCAGGUAGUUGGUGGGGUAACGGCCUACCAAGCCGACGACGGGUAGCUGGUCUGAGAGGAUGAUCAGCCGGACGGGGACUGAGACACGGCCCCGACUCCUUCGGGAGGCAGCAAUGAGGGAUAUUGCACAAUGGGCGAAAGCCUGAUGCAGCGACGCCGCGUGGGUGAGGAAGUCCUUCGGGAUGUAAAGCCCUUUUGUCGAGGACGAGCCGGCAGGAGACAUUCUGCCCCGACGGUACUCGGCGAAUAAGCCCCGGCUAACUACGUGCCAGCAGCCGCGGUAAUACGUAGGGGGCAAGCGUUGUCCGGAUUUACUGGGCGUAAAGCGCGUGUAGGCGGAGCGUUAAGUCUGGCCUGAAACCCCCGGCUCAACCGGGGAAGGUGGCUGGAACUGGCGUUCUUGAGGACGACAGAGGAGUGUGGAAUUCCUGGUGUAGCGGUGAAAUGCGUAGAAAUCAGGAGGAACACCCGUGGCGAAGGCGGCACUCUGGGUCGUGUCUGACGCUGAGAGCGAAAGCGUGGGGAGCGAACGGGAUUAGAUACCCUAGUAGUCC
Molecule: ribosomal RNA, 794 nt
Filed under: uncultured bacterium
Lineage: Bacteria
Description: bacterial SSU rRNA
Rfam family: Bacterial small subunit ribosomal RNA
Source: RNAcentral